Molecule: non-coding RNA, 789 nt
Organism: Danio rerio (zebrafish)
Lineage: Eukaryota; Metazoa; Chordata; Actinopteri; Cypriniformes; Danionidae
Source: RefSeq, a predicted model, not a curated record
AUAUUUUAGUUUUUAUUCUUUCUGACCAUGUGUAAAAUUUAAUAACAAAAUGGAUCUUGCAUGCUUUUAGCAAGUUGUGUAAUUAUAUAUAGUUAUAUAGUUUCUAAUAUUGUGUUCAUUUAUAUUUAGGUGGACCCAGCAAAAUAUGAUGUAUUGUUGGGUAUUGUCAAUGAAUGUCACCACUGGUUUUUGAUGGUAAAUGCUUCUGAUUUGAAAACGGACUCUUCUUGAAACUUUCCCUAUUCUCAAGUUUUUUUAUUUUUAUUUUUUGUUAAAUCUAGGCUAUAUACCCAGCCCAAAGGAAAGCUAUUCUUCUUGAUUCUCUUGGAGAGACUGAGGUGAAGAAAAAGAAGUGUUUGGAAACGGCAAGCGCAAUUAUGAAGAAACUUCCAGUUUCACAUUGGGUGUGUGAAACACUGCCUCACCCACAUCAAAAAGAUGGAACAUCAUGUGGUGUGUUUGCGUUGAAGUUUGCAGAAUACAUCCUUAAAGAGAAGGAAAUUGACUUCUGCAGUGCACCACAAGAAGUGAAACGACUCCGAUUAGAGAUUGCAUCAACACUUCUUGACCAAUCUGGUAUGUUUUUAUUCGUGUUUAACUUAAUUUUCAGUGCGUUUAUGCAUUUUCAGAACUUACUUAAAAUUCACAAAAGAAAUUUAAACAGCUCAUUUUAUCUCAUAGAUGAUCUAAGUGACCUGUGUCACUUUUGUGGGGAGGCAGAGACAUUUGAUGAAUCUGAGAAUUUUCUCUGGGUAACAACAUUUGUCUUUUUUUUUUUUUUUUUUUUUU